RNAcentral lists this long non-coding RNA (1858 nucleotides) under Nicotiana benthamiana. Its description in RNAcentral is "long non-coding RNA (NBEN_LNC019095)". Lineage: Eukaryota; Viridiplantae; Streptophyta; Magnoliopsida; Solanales; Solanaceae. The record is from RNAcentral.
AGACUUUUAACAAAACAAUAGCAAAGUGCGGAAGUUUAUACAUGUCUCUGCCCAACAUCUGAUGUCACCACUCACGGACUACUAAGGAAAACUAAAAACAUCAGUCUGAAAGAAAAUACAAAAGAGUUUGUCUCGAUACAAAUAAAUAAACUGAAAUAACAUAGAUGAGACUCCGAGCCCGCGGAUGUCAGCUAAGCUACCUAAGAGUCUCUGGACUGAAGGUCUGCUCCCGGUCUAAAACUGCUGAGGCGGUCCAUAAGCUGUCUCCUGACCCGUGCACAAAAGGCACUGAAGUGUAGCAUCAGCACAACUGACCCCAUAUGCUGGUAAGUGCCUGGCCUAACCCCGCCGAGGUAGUGACGAGACUAGACAGGACCUACCACAAAUAACAUGUACAGAUAUAUGCAAUAACAGGAGAAUCGCUAUUCUAAACAGCUAAAAAGGGAGGGAAACAUGUUGUGGGGUACAACAGUUCAAAUACAAAAAUCAGCUAAAAGAAUGAAAACUGAGCGAAUAACAACUGAUAAAGAAAUACCGGAAAGCUUAAUGCACUAAAUCAAUAUACUCAGCCCAUAUUCCUGUUGCGGGCCGCAACCCGUUCCUCAAUAUUUAUUACCGUUGCGGCGUGCAAUCCGAUCCUCGACAAUUAAUCCGUUGCGGCAUGCAACCUGAUCCUCAAUAUUGGGUACUGUUGCGGCGUGCAACCCAAUCCUCAACAUUUACCAACAAAACUCACCCAACAUCAUCCGCAACUCAAGUGCGGGGGGAGUAACAUCAAAACAAAGAAUUCCCGACGAGGGAAUAUAACUAACAACUCAAAAUAUCCCGGCAAUAGAGAAUUUAAUAUAUAUUUAAAUCCCGGCAAGGGAAAUGAUCACAGAACUUUCAUUUCUAAACACAUUAGCUACCAACAAGUUAUAAACCAAGCCAAUGCUCCAAAAUUAUACGAAAUCAUUAUUUGUCCUCAACCGUUCAUAUCAUGUGGACUAAAUCAAUUCAACACGAAUUUAUAUCAUAUCAUUCGAAAUAAUGCAAUUUAAGACCCACGGUCAUGCUAGACUCGGGUGCAUAAUUAACCGUCACCAUGCCUAUGCAUCAACUCCACAUAGCACAUAGCAAAUAAUGUUCUAAUCAUAUUCCCUCAAGCCAAAGUUAGAUUAAACACUUACCUCGAUCCGAAAAUAGCAGUCAAACCUCUAACACUGUCUUUCCUCUAGAAUCCAACUCCGAAAUAACAAUAUCUAGCCAUAAUUAGUUCAAUAUUAUUAAUAAUGGCUUAAAAACACAAUUCCAUAGCCUAGAAAUAAAUUUCCUAUCAUUCUUCCAAAAAUACCAAAAUUCGACACCGGGCCCACAUAAUCCAAACUCGAGGCUCCAAAACCCAAUCAUCCAUAAGUCCACGGGUUCAAAUAUGGAGUAUAACAAAUAGUGGAAUGAAAUGGAACAACGCCAAUUAGCUUUGUUUGAAUAAAAACUAGAGUGAAGUUCGAUGACAAAAUUGCAAAGGCAGUAAUCAAAUUCAAGCAGACUUCAUAAGUUCUUUGGGUUUAUGUUCAAACUUAGUCUAUUGCUCUAUAUUUUUAUUGCCUAUCUUGUUACAUCUUAUUGAAAAUAAACAGAUUCCAAGCAGAACUACGAACCUCAAACAAAACCUCGACGAACAAUGACGACCUCGACGUCUCGAUAACCAAAAAACUCACGCACACUGUCACUGUUUCCCACUAAAUUUUCGGCCAGUUGUGUGUGUUUUAAGAGAGGGAGAAGGGCUGGUUCGAGCAGCCUGGGAAUGGUGGUUCAGGGGUGGUCGUUACUGGACAGUUGGUGGUUGACGAGCUGGGCGCUGGUGGACUGGUGCUGG